UGUGAGGGAAGAAGGCUUUCGGGUCGUAAACCUCUGUCAGAAGGGAAGAACAGCAUGUGGCCCAAUAGGCCGCAUGCCUGACGGUACCUUCAGAGGAAGCGCCGGCUAACUCCGUGCCAGCAGCCGCGGUAAUACGGAGGGCGCGAGCGUUAAUCGGAAUCACUGGGCGUAAAGCGUACGUAGGCGGCGACGUAAGUCAGACGUGAAAGCCCUCGGCUCAACCGAGGAAUUGCGUUUGAUACUGCGUUGCUUGAGUCCUGGAGAGGGUGGCGGAAUUCCGGGUGUAGGAGUGAAAUCCGUAGAUAUCCGGAGGAACACCGGUGGCGAAGGCGGCCACCUGGACAGGUACUGACGCUGAGGUACGAAAGCGUGGGGAGCAAACAGGAUUAGAUACCCUGGUAGUCCACGCUGUAAACGAUGGAUGCUAGGUGUCGGGGGGCGACCUUCGGUGCCGAAGUUAACGCAUUAA
This 469-nucleotide ribosomal RNA is filed under the name uncultured delta proteobacterium. RNAcentral's name for it is "bacterial SSU rRNA". It matches the Rfam family "Bacterial small subunit ribosomal RNA", at positions 400 to 863 of the family's 1533-position model. The record is from RNAcentral. Lineage: Bacteria; Deltaproteobacteria.